AUGGAUCGGCGCGACGGGGCGGGCAAUCGGGGCCGGAGCUACGCGCGCGGCAACGCCCGAGGCCGAGGAUGGCCGGGCCGGUGUGAAGACCGCGGCCGCCCCUCCACACAACCUCCUCCCUCCACCGCCCCCGCCGCCGCGGUCAUCCCCAGCGACGCCCAGCCGAUCGUGGGCACCUGUCCCGACAUGUGCCCGGCUACAGAGAGAGCGCAGAGGGAGCGGCUCCGAGAUCUGGCCGUGUUUGAGCGUGUGAGCAGCGACCCCAUGCGCACGUCCCAUUCCCUCGCCGUCAAGAAGGUGAGCCGUCCAUGA
RNAcentral lists this ribosomal RNA (312 nucleotides) under Triticum aestivum (bread wheat). RNAcentral's name for it is "partial small subunit ribosomal RNA". The record is from RNAcentral. Lineage: Eukaryota; Viridiplantae; Streptophyta; Magnoliopsida; Poales; Poaceae.